AGUGAACGCUGGCGGCAGGCCUAAUACAUGCAAGUCGAACGGCAGCACAGUGGAGCUUGCUCCAUGGGUGGCGAGUGGCGGACGGGUGAGGAAUACAUGGGAAUCUGCCCAGUCGUGGGGGAUAACGUAGGGAAACUUACGCUAAUACCGCAUGCGCCCUUCGGGGGAAAGCCGGGGACCUUCGGGCCUGGCGCGAUUGGAUGAGCCCAUGUUCGAUUAGCUAGUUGGCGGGGUAAAGGCCCACCAAGGCGACGAUCGAUAGCUGGUCUGAGAGGAUGAUCGGCCACACUGGGACUGAGACACGGCCCAGACUCCUACGGGAGGCAGCAGUAGGGAAUAUUGGACAAUGGGCGCAAGCCUGAUCCAGCCAUGCCGCGUGAGUGAAGAAGGCCCUCGGGUUGUAAAGCUCUUUUGUCCGGGAAGAAAAGCAUCGGGCUAAGACCUCGGUGUUCUGACGGUACCGGAAGAAUAAGCACCGGCUAACUUCGU
RNAcentral lists this ribosomal RNA (489 nucleotides) under uncultured bacterium. Its description in RNAcentral is "partial 16S ribosomal RNA". It matches the Rfam family "Bacterial small subunit ribosomal RNA", at positions 29 to 506 of the family's 1533-position model. The record is from RNAcentral.